CCUAUCCUAUAUAACUGGGUUCUGCUCUAGGUGGCAACACAUAGGGCACAGUGGACAAAGGGACACACAAAUGCCAAGCUGUCCUGUCUCCUUCCAGUGUAGUCAAGGUUCUCCAGAGAAGAAAAACCCACAGGCCCGUAUUGUCUUGAUUUCUCCAUAUUUUGUAAGUAUUUUAUUUCGCCUUUUAGCUUAUUUGUGUGUGUGUGUGUGUGUGUGUGUGUGUGUGUGUGUGUGUGUGUGUGUGUGUGUGUGUGUGUGUGUGUGUGUGUGUGUGUGUGUGUGUACCAUAUGUGUUCCUAGUGACAAAAGAAGCCAGAAGAGGCCAUUAGAUUACCUGAAACUGGAGAUAGACCUUAGUUGGCAUGUGGGUUCUGGGAAGCAAACCUCGGCCCUCUAAAGCGCAGGAAGCACUCGUACCUCCUGAGCAUGCCCUCCAGUUCCAUAUAUUUAAUUUUUUAAAAAGCUACUAACAAGAAUAUUUGUGUAAAAUGCACAUGUAUAUGCCCUGAGUUGUAAAGUAUCUAACAGAAUAAUAAAUAGUUUAAAAGACCUAGAAGAUCAGGAUAAACCAUUACAACGUUUUCUGUUGUUAAGAAGCCCAAAAUUACUUUACACCUUAAAAAUAACAGUGGUAUUGAUUCUAUAUGCAGAAUCUCCAAAUUAACUGGAAACUUAGUCAUAAUAAUUGGUACCAGGUACUUUUUUUUCAUAUUGACUAGUUUAUUAUAAGGCCCAGCAGAGUAGGGAGACUAAGAGAGAAGAGGAACAGGGGUAAUGGCUAACCACCAUAGCUAGUCGCUAUAGAGAGGCAGAGAGAGCACGUAGAUGGAGAAGAGAGAGCGAAGCAGAAGCAGAGAGAGAGAGUAAGGAGUAAAGAGAAUAAAGAGCACCAGGUACUUUUUUUUGACACUCUGUAGUUUAUUUUAAUGUACACAUAAUGAUAAACAUUCAGAAGAUUUACAGCUUAUGUCAUACAAAACCGGGACAUUGCACACACAGGGUAACAGGAACUUUAAUGAACCUUUUUCCCGUCUUCCAUUUUAAAGACAUACUUAUGGCUACCCACUCAUAUCCCCAGCCACACUGAGCAAAUAAAUUCUCUAAUCAAUAACUUCCCUUGGGAGAAUUCUAUUGUUGCCUGAGAACACUUUUUCUCUAUUAGAUGCUAAUUAACUUGACUCUCAAGCAGGAACUAUCCAAGACAAAGCAGAUCUGACCUAGCCAAGCCUGUAGCUAGAGGAAAGUGAAAAUACAAGUAACCACUGUCUCAGCGGCGUGAGCUCUUGCACACUACAUGUUGGCAACACAGACACUCUGUGUGUAGCUCAGCAUCAGGUUUGAGUCCUGCAGCACUUUGCCUUUCACUAAAAUCAGACGAAACACUGCCAAAAUUUUUCCAGACAGAUAAGUGUAGCAAGAUUCAUUCACUCAGAUGGAGGAAACAGCAAGCUGCCCUGACACAAUACUGUCUUUAUUUCAUCAGCACGUUGAAACAUGGAGUCUUGUACUUUGAAACCUGUUAGUAGACAAACAACAUGGAGUGCAAGACAACUCUUGCCUUAUCCUGGCUUUCUAAUUACUCAUGAAAAUGACAUAUGUGGGUUAUUCUGAGUGUGUUUCUGAGACAGAUAUCUCAGACAAGGUCAUGUGAACCCACAGAGGGAGUUCCAACUGUCCAAUGGCAAAAGGUGGAAAAGGCUGAGUCAGGAUGCAAUGAGUUUAGCCCCCUUUCUACAAGUUCUUCUGCAAGUUCUUUUACUUAGUGAGUCUUGGAUGGAAGAAUCUUAGAGCUCUGGGUCUUUUAUUUUUAUUUAUUUAUUUUUUAUUGGACAUCAAGGCUGAUAUAAGAAACUAUAACAAAUAUAUUCAGUGUGUCAGACUGGCAUCUCUUCUUCUGUUUAGUAGCGCAUUUAAAGCUCUAGGCAGACUAAUUAGGCAAGAAAAAGAAGUAAAAGAUUUGGCUCUAAAUUAGGAAGGAAGAAACAAGCAGCUCUGUGCACAAAUGAUAUGACCCAAGGUAAUGAUGAAUUCUUUAAAAUCCUAGGAUACAAAAAAAUUAUUAACUCAUAAUUCUGUAAGUUCAAAUCCAAGAUCAGGUGCUUAUAUUGCUUUGGACCUCUGAUGAGCAUGUCCCAGGGUGGGAAACAGUGUUCACCUCAUAGCCAAGAAGCAAAAGUGAAGGGAAAGGCAAGAGUCCCAGUGCCCUAAAGAAUUCCCACCAGGCCUGUCUCCUAAAGGACCCAUCACCGACAUGGUGGUUUCAAGGAGAAAUAAGCCCCAUCCCCAGCCUUGAGCACUUGAACACUUGGUCUCCAGUGGUGCUGUUUGGGGGAAGUUUAGGUGGUGUAAUCUUGCUGUAGGAAGCACAUCACUGGGGCCAGGCUUUGAUUGAAAGCCUCUCACCAUUUCCAGUUUGCUCCUCCUGCUUUGUGCCUGUGGUUCAAGGUGUGAGUUCACAGCCUCCUGUCACCAUGCCUGUUGCCUCCAUGCCUGCUGCCUGCUACCUGCCACCUGGCGCCUGCUGCCUGUGCCAUGCUUCCUUGCAAUUAUGGACUCCAAACCUCUGUAACCACAAACCAAAAUAAACUUUUCUGAGUUGUCUUAGUCACGGUAUUGUAGCACAGCAACAGAAAAGUAAUUAAUACACCCUCUCAAUAGAGCCAUGCUCAGAAACAAACAAAAAGUCUUUAUCACAUGGGCCUAGG
This 2705-nucleotide long non-coding RNA is filed under the name Cricetulus griseus (Chinese hamster). RNAcentral describes it as "lncRNA (ENSCGRG00015043448.1)". Lineage: Eukaryota; Metazoa; Chordata; Mammalia; Rodentia; Cricetidae. The record is from RNAcentral.